This 466-nucleotide ribosomal RNA is filed under the name uncultured bacterium. RNAcentral describes it as "partial 16S ribosomal RNA". It matches the Rfam family "Bacterial small subunit ribosomal RNA", at positions 338 to 795 of the family's 1533-position model. The record is from RNAcentral.
CCUACGGGAGGCAGCAGUAGGGAAUCUUCCACAAUGGGCGAAAGCCUGAUGGAGCAACGCCGCGUGGGUGAAGAAGGUCUUCGGAUCGUAAAACCCUGUUGUUAGAGAAGAAAGUGCGUGAGAGUAACUGUUCACGUUUCGACGGUAUCUAACCAUAAAGCCACGGCUAACUACGUGCCCGCAGCCGCGGUAAUACGUAGGUGGCAAGGGUUAUCCGGAUUUAUUGGGCGUAAAGGGAACGCAGGCGGUCGUUUAAGUCUGAUGUGAAAGCCUUCGGCUUAACCGGAGGAGGGCAUUGGAAACUGGGAGACUUGAGUGCAGAAGAGGAGAGUGGAACUCCAUGUGUAGCGGUGAAAUGCGUAGAUAUAUGGAAGAACACCAGUGGCGAAAGCGGCUCUCUGGUCUGUAACUGACGCUGAGGUUCGAAAGCGUGGGUAGCAAACAGGAUUAGAUACCCCUGGUAGUC